UCCCUUGUAGCUCAGUUGGUAAAGAAUCUGCCUGUAGUACAGGAGACCCAGGUUCGAUCCCUGGGUUGGGAA
RNAcentral lists this transfer RNA (72 nucleotides) under Bos taurus (domestic cattle). It matches the Rfam family "tRNA". Rfam says of the family: Transfer RNA (tRNA) molecules are approximately 80 nucleotides in length. Their secondary structure includes four short double-helical elements and three loops (D, anti-codon, and T loops). The record is from Rfam by way of RNAcentral. Lineage: Eukaryota; Metazoa; Chordata; Mammalia; Artiodactyla; Bovidae. RNAcentral also lists the same sequence under 2 other names.